AUGAACGCUGGCGGCGUGCCUAAUACAUGCAAGUCGAGCGAACAGACGAGGAGCUUGCUCCUCUUACGUUAGCGGCGGACGGGUUAGUAACACGUGGAUAACCUACCUAUAAUUCUUGGAUAACUUCGGGAAACCGGAGCUAAUACCGGAUAAUAUAUUGAACCGCAUGGUUCAAUAGUUAAAUACGGUUUUUCUUUCACUUAUUGAUUGUUCCGCGCCGCAUUAGAUAGUUGGUAAGGUAACGGCUUACCAAGGCAACGAUGCGUAGCCUAACUGAGAGGGGGAUCGGCCACACGGGAACGGAGACACGGACCAGAAUACUACGGGAGGCAGCAGUAGGGAAUAUUCCGCAAUGGGCGAAAGCCUGACGGAGCAAAGCCGCGUGAGGGAAGAAGGUCUUCGGAUCGUAAAACUCUGUCAUUAGGGAAGAACAAAUGUGUAAGUAACUAUGCACGUCUUGACGGUACCUAAUCAGAAAGCAACGGCUAACUACGUG
This 496-nucleotide ribosomal RNA is filed under the name uncultured bacterium. Its description in RNAcentral is "partial 16S ribosomal RNA". It matches the Rfam family "Bacterial small subunit ribosomal RNA", at positions 29 to 507 of the family's 1533-position model. The record is from RNAcentral.